RNAcentral lists this ribosomal RNA (521 nucleotides) under uncultured bacterium. Its description in RNAcentral is "partial 16S ribosomal RNA". It matches the Rfam family "Bacterial small subunit ribosomal RNA", at positions 29 to 523 of the family's 1533-position model. The record is from RNAcentral.
ACGAACGCUGGCGGCGUGGAUAAGACAUGCAAGUCGAGCGGGACAUUUCGGGUAGCAAUAUUCGAGAUGUCUAGCGGCGAAAGGGUGCGUAACACGUGGGUAAUCUGCCAUGAAGUUUGGAAUAACUCGCUGAAAGGCGAGCUAAUACCGGAUGUGAUCAUUGAGGGACAUCCUUUGAUGAUUAAAGUUGGGGACCGUAAGGCCUGACGCUUCAUGAUGAGCCCGCGGCCUAUCAGCUAGUUGGUGAGGUAACGGCUCACCAAGGCUAAGACGGGUAGCUGGUCUGAGAGGACGACCAGCCACACUGGAACUGAGACACGGUCCAGACACCUACGGGUGGCAGCAGUCGAGAAUUUUUCACAAUGGGGGAAACCCUGAUGGAGCGACGCCGCGUGGGGGAUGAAUGGCUUCGGCCCGUAAACCCCUGUCAUUCGGGAUCAAUGCCUGCGGCAUAAUACGUUGCAGGUUGAUAGUACCGGAAGAGGAAGGGACGGCUAACUCUGUGCCAGCCGCCGCGGUAA